RNAcentral lists this ribosomal RNA (253 nucleotides) under uncultured bacterium. RNAcentral's name for it is "partial 16S ribosomal RNA". It matches the Rfam family "Bacterial small subunit ribosomal RNA", at positions 524 to 776 of the family's 1533-position model. The record is from RNAcentral.
UACGGAGGGGGCUAGCGUUGUUCGGAAUUACUGGGCGUAAAGCGCACGUAGGCGGGUCGUUAAGUCAGGGGUGAAAUCCUGGAGCUCAACUCCAGAACUGCCUUUGAUACUGGCGAUCUUGAGUUCGGGAGAGGUGAGUGGAACUGCGAGUGUAGAGGUGAAAUUCGUAGAUAUUCGCAAGAACACCAGUGGCGAAGGCGGCUCACUGGCCCGAUACUGACGCUGAGGCACGAAAGCGUGGGGAGCAAACAGG